This is a long non-coding RNA of Psammomys obesus (fat sand rat), 322 nucleotides long. RefSeq lists it as uncharacterized. The record is from RefSeq and is a predicted model, not a curated record. The transcript has 3 exons. NCBI's taxonomy places the organism in Eukaryota, Metazoa, Chordata, Mammalia, Rodentia, Muridae.
CGCUGCCCUACCGGGAGGGGACACAUUGCUUUCCCGGCACCAGGAGUGGCAAAGGCCACGUUAACUUGAGAGUCAUACUCAGCAUUCACAAAGCCCACCCUGCAAAGCUAAUUAAAGGAUGUUGUUCCUGUCACAGUGGAAGCUGCUGAAGAAACUCUCCUCAGAGCAUGUUCCCUGACAACCUGCCUCCAGCUGUUCUAUUUUACGAAAAGGAAGACAUUCUCUGAGUUUAGAGACCCCUAUAGACUCUCAAACCCUCUGGAGCAUCUUCUCAAGACGGCAACUCAAGCCAACUGCCUUAAAAAUUGUGCUUCAUGAUGAC